UACAGAGGUCUCAAGCGUUGUUCGGAUUCAUUGGGCGUAAAGGGUGCGUAGGCGGCGCGGUAAGUCGGGUGUGAAAUCUCGGGGCUUAACUCCGAAACUGCAUUCGAUACUGCCGUGCUUGAGGACUGGAGAGGAGACUGGAAUUUACGGUGUAGCGGUGAAAUGCUUAGAUAUGACAUAGAACACCAAUUGCGAAGGCAGCUUACUUCACGAUCAUUGACACUGAGGCACGAAAGCGUGGGGAGCAAACAGG
RNAcentral lists this ribosomal RNA (253 nucleotides) under uncultured bacterium. RNAcentral's name for it is "partial 16S ribosomal RNA". It matches the Rfam family "Bacterial small subunit ribosomal RNA", at positions 524 to 776 of the family's 1533-position model. The record is from RNAcentral.